Molecule: transfer RNA, 73 nt
Filed under: Zootermopsis nevadensis
Lineage: Eukaryota; Metazoa; Arthropoda; Insecta; Blattodea; Termopsidae
Rfam family: tRNA
About the family: Transfer RNA (tRNA) molecules are approximately 80 nucleotides in length. Their secondary structure includes four short double-helical elements and three loops (D, anti-codon, and T loops).
Source: Rfam by way of RNAcentral
GUCAUUGUGGUCUAGCAGUUAGAACGCUGGCCUUGUAAUCCUGGGGUCUCGGGUUCGAUUCCCGGCGGUGCCC